UACGAAGGGGGCUAGCGUUGUUCGGAAUUACUGGGCGUAAAGCGCACGUAGGCGGACUAUUAAGUCAGGGGUGAAAUCCCGGGGCUCAACCCCGGAACUGCUUUCGAAACUGUCGAACUUGAGUGCAGAAGAGGCAACUGGAAUUCCCAGUGUAGCGGUGAAAUGCGUAGAUAUUGGGAAGAACACCUGAGGCGAAGGCGGGUUGCUGGGCUGACACUGACGCUGAGGCGCGAAAGCCAGGGGAGCGAACGGG
Molecule: ribosomal RNA, 253 nt
Filed under: uncultured bacterium
Lineage: Bacteria
Description: partial 16S ribosomal RNA
Rfam family: Bacterial small subunit ribosomal RNA
Source: RNAcentral